This is a non-coding RNA of Triticum aestivum (bread wheat), 115 nucleotides long. Lineage: Eukaryota; Viridiplantae; Streptophyta; Magnoliopsida; Poales; Poaceae. The record is from Rfam.
UAUUUACUCCCUCCGUUCGGAAUUACUUGUCUCGGAAAUGGAUGUAUCUAGAAUUAAAAUACAUCUAGAUACAUCCAUUUCUACGACAAGUAAUUCCGAACGGGGGGAGUAUCUU